This is a long non-coding RNA of Quercus robur (English oak), 582 nucleotides long. RefSeq lists it as uncharacterized. NCBI's taxonomy places the organism in Eukaryota, Viridiplantae, Streptophyta, Magnoliopsida, Fagales, Fagaceae. The record is from RefSeq and is a predicted model, not a curated record. The transcript is spliced from 2 exons.
UAAGAACUGUUUGACCUUUACAAUAGUAACAACACAUGUUAAAUUCAUUUCAAACACCCCUGCUUUAAGAAAAAAACCCGACACCCUCGUAUACUCUCUCCCCAGUGGACUUCGCGAGUGUUUGCACAUAUAUAAGGCUAAACACACUGUCAUAGCCGCAACAAAAUAAGCCCCAGCAGCGAAACAGCUUCACAACACUCACGAGACAUACUCCAAUGUGGCAGGGUAAAGGAAAAACUACCAUGGAGACAUUCUUCAAGCUAGAUGACAGUGGCCAGCAGAAUAUUUUUGUAAAUUUCUAGCAGUAGUUUCCAUUUAAGCAAUGGGGAACAGAAAACACAAAAUGUUCAAAGAGCUUCAAUUAUUAUCAUGUAUGCUUCCAGCAACAUGAAGCAAUGAUGAUAAGCUCUAAUACCGUUUAACUGUGGUAGAAAAUAAGAUAAUAACAGGGACAAAAAAUAAUAUUUUUAGAAAAGACAAAGCAAAAUUUGAUUAUGAACCCUCCUAUAUUAUUUGGUUUAGUACCAGACAUCUGUAUAUAUAUUAAAGACGGUAGUUAUAUAAGUUGUUUAUGUGGUUUUA